RNAcentral lists this ribosomal RNA (429 nucleotides) under Gemmatimonadota bacterium. Its description in RNAcentral is "Gemmatimonadetes bacterium partial 16S ribosomal RNA". It matches the Rfam family "Bacterial small subunit ribosomal RNA", at positions 355 to 776 of the family's 1533-position model. Lineage: Bacteria; Pseudomonadati; Gemmatimonadota. The record is from RNAcentral.
UAGGGAAUCUUCUGCAAUGGACGAAAGUCUGACCGAGCAACGCCGCGUGAGUGAAGAAGGUUUUCGGAUCGUAAAACUCUGUUGUUAGAGAAGAACAAGGACGUUAGUAACUGAACGUCCCCUGACGGUAUCUAACCAGAAAGCCACGGCUAACUACGUGCCAGCAGCCGCGGUAAUACGUAGGUGGCAAGCGUUGUCCGGAUUUAUUGGGCGUAAAGCGAGCGCAGGCGGUUUCUUAAGUCUGAUGUGAAAGCCCCCGGCUCAACCGGGGAGGGUCAUUGGAAACUGGGAGACUUGAGUGCCGAAGAGGAGAGUGGAAUUCCAUGUGUAGCGGUGAAAUGCGUAGAUAUAUGGAGGAACACCAGUGGCGAAGGCGGCUCUCUGGUCUGUAACUGACGCUGAGGCGCGAAAGCGUGGGGAGCAAACAGG